CACGUAGGGCGCGAGCGUUGUCCGGAAUUAUUGGGCGUAAAGAGCUCGUAGGCGGCCUGUUGCGUCCGCUGUGAAAGCCCGGGGCUUAACCCCGGGUCGGCAGUGGAUACGGGCAGGCUAGAGGUAGGUAGGGGAGAAUGGAAUUCCCGGUGUAGCGGUGAAAUGCGCAGAUAUCGGGAGGAACACCGGUGGCGAAGGCGGGUCUCUGGGCCGAAAUUGACGCUGAGGAGCGAAAGCGUGGGGAGCAAACAGG
Molecule: ribosomal RNA, 253 nt
Filed under: uncultured bacterium
Lineage: Bacteria
Description: partial 16S ribosomal RNA
Rfam family: Bacterial small subunit ribosomal RNA
Source: RNAcentral